This 27-nucleotide non-coding RNA is filed under the name Bombyx mori (domestic silkworm). The record is from RNAcentral. Lineage: Eukaryota; Metazoa; Arthropoda; Insecta; Lepidoptera; Bombycidae.
UAUGAGAAUCGACAUUAGGUCGCAUAU